UGGGGAAUUUUGGACAAUGGGCGAAAGCCUGAUCCAGCAAUGCCGCGUGUGUGAAGAAGGCCUUCGGGUUGUAAAGCACUUUCAGCGAGGAGGAAGGUGGUGGACUUAAUACGUUCAUCAAUUGACGUUACUCGCAGAAGAAGCACCGGCUAACUCCGUGCCAGCAGCCGCGGUAAUACGGAGGGUGCAAGCGUUAAUCGGAAUUACUGGGCGUAAAGCGCACGCAGGCGGUUUGUUAAGUCAGAUGUGAAAUCCCCGGGCUCAACCUGGGAACUGCAUUUGAAACUGGCAAGCUAGAGUCUCGUAGAGGGGGGUAGAAUUCCAGGUGUAGCGGUGAAAUGCGUAGAGAUCUGGAGGAAUACCGGUGGCGAAGGCGGCCCCCUGGANGAAGACUGACGCUCAGGUGCGAAAGCGUGGGGAGCAAACAGAUUAGNUACCCUGGUAGUCCACGCUGU
Molecule: ribosomal RNA, 455 nt
Filed under: uncultured bacterium
Lineage: Bacteria
Description: partial 16S ribosomal RNA
Rfam family: Bacterial small subunit ribosomal RNA
Source: RNAcentral